AGCCCAAACCGAUAACGUUUCGGCGUUAUCGGGGUAGUAGGACCACGAUGUCCGAGUAAUAUUUGAACUGGAACCUGUCUGGAAAGUCAGGCCAUAGAGGGUGAGAGCCCCGUACAGGUAAGAAUAUGAUUGGUAGUGGUAUCCUGAGUAGCGCGGAGCACGAGGAAUUCUGCGUGAAUUCGCCGGGACCAUCCGGUAAGGCUAAAUACUCCAUAGAGACCGAUAGUGAACCAGUACCGUGAGGGAAAGGUGAAAAGCACUUCGAGUAGAAGAGUGAAAUAGUACCUGAAACUGUUUGCUUACAAGCGGUCGGAGCGGCUAUAAGCCGUGACGGCGUGCCUUUUGCAUAAUGAACCUACGAGUCACCUUCUUUAGCGAGGUUAAGUCCUUCAGGGACGUAUCCGAAGCGAAAGCGAGUCUUAACAGGGCGUUGAGUUAGAGGGGGUGGACGCGAAACCAAGUGAUCUACACAUGACCAGGAUGAAGUUUCGGUAACACGGGAUGGAGGUCCGAACCGUUUGGCGUUGAAAAGCCCUCGGAUGAGUUGUGUGUAGGGGUGAAAGGCUAAUCAAACUUGGAGAUAGCUCGUACUCCCCGAAAUGCAUUUAGGUGCAGCGUGGAAUUAGUCUAUAUGAGGUAGAGCGACUGAUUGGAUGCGAGGGCUUCACCGCCUAUCAAGUCCUGAUAAACUCCGAAUGCGUAUAGAUGUUGUUCCGCAGUGAGGGCGCGGGUGCUAACGUCCGUGUCCGAGAGGAAAAGAAUCCUUACCAUCGUCUAAGGCCCUUAAAUGUAUGCUAAGUUUAAUUAACGAAGUUUUGUCGCAGUGACAGCUAGGAUGUUGGCUUGGAAGCAGCCAUUCAUCUAAAGAGUGCGUAACAGCUCACUAGUCGAGCGACGGAGCGUGGAUAAUAAUCGGGAAUAAGCAUACUGCCGAAGCCAUGGGUUUCGAUAAGAAGCGGUAGGGGAGCAUUCCGUUCAGCGUAGAAGGCGUGUUGGGAGACACUCUGGAGCGUACGGAAAAGCAAAUGUAGGUAUAAGUAACGAUAAAGGAGGUGAGAAACCUCCUCGCCGGAAGACUGAGGUUUCCUGAUCAACGUUAAUCGGAUCAGGGUUAGUCGGGGCCUAAGGGUAAGCCGAAUGGCGAGCCCGAUGGAAGAAACUGUUAAUAUUCAGUUACUGGCAUACGCACUGAUGUGGAGACGGAGGAAUGAAAGUCCUGCCGACUGACGGAAUAGUCGGUUAAAGGGUGUAGAUGUAGAUUGUGUAGGCAAAUCCGCACAAGAAUCGAACCUGAAAGUACCUCGAGGGCUUGCCUGAGGGGAAAUGGAUGUAAUUAGACUCCCAAGAAAAUCCGCUAAAGAUAUGCGUAUGGCACCCGUACCACAAACGGACACACGUGGUCACGUAUAGAGUACUAAGGCGCUCGAGAGAUUCACAGCUAAGGAACUAGGCAAAAUAGCCCCGUAACUUCGGGAAAAGGGGCGCUCUCUGAGAGGAGAGCCGCAGAGAAAUGGCUCAAGCGACUGUUUAACAAAAACACAGGGCUAUGCGAAAUCGAAAGAUGAAAUAUAUGGCCUGACACCUGCCCGGUGCUGGAAGGUUAAGAGGAGAUGUCACGAAAGGAAGCAUUGAAUUGAAGCCCCAGUAAACGGCGGCCGUAACUAUAACGGUCCUAAGGUAGCGAAAUUCCUUGUCGGGUAAGUUCCGACCUGCACGAAUGGUGUAACGAUCUGGGCGCUGUCUCAACCGUGAGCUCGGUGAAAUUGUAGUAUCGGUGAAGAUGCCGAUUUCCCGCAAUGGGACGAAAAGACCCCGUGAACCUUUACUGCAGCUUUGCAUUGAGUUUGGGUAAUUGAUGUGUAGGAUAGGUCGGAGGCUAUGAAGCAGGUACGCUAGUAUUUGUGGAGCCGUUGUUGAAAUACGACCCUUUGAUUAUUUGGAUUCUAACCCGCGGAGCGGGGACACUGCAUGGUGGGUAGUUUGACUGGGGUGGUCGCCUCCAAAAGUGUAACGGAGGCUUCCAAAGGUGCGUUCAUGACGAUUGGUAACCGUCAGUAGAGUGCAAUGGCAUAAGCGCGCUUGACUGAGAGACUAACAAGUCGACCAGGUAGGAAACUAGGGCAUAGUGAUCCGGUGGUUCCGUAUGGAAGGGCCAUCGCUC
Molecule: ribosomal RNA, 2161 nt
Filed under: human gut metagenome
Description: bacterial LSU rRNA
Rfam family: Bacterial large subunit ribosomal RNA
Source: RNAcentral